GUAGGUCUGGUUUGGAACAUGGGAGGAGUCGACGUUUUUACAAGGUCCCAGAUGAUGCUGAUGUGAGUGGUUCCUGGACUACCUCUCUGAGUAGCGC
RNAcentral lists this microRNA precursor (97 nucleotides) under Mus pahari (shrew mouse). Its description in RNAcentral is "miRNA (MGP_PahariEiJ_G0007377.1)". Lineage: Eukaryota; Metazoa; Chordata; Mammalia; Rodentia; Muridae. The record is from RNAcentral.